Molecule: ribosomal RNA, 255 nt
Filed under: uncultured bacterium
Lineage: Bacteria
Description: partial 16S ribosomal RNA
Rfam family: Bacterial small subunit ribosomal RNA
Source: RNAcentral
UACGUAGGGGUGCGAGCGUUUGUCCGGAAUUACUGGGCGUAAAGAGCUCGUAGGUGGUUUGUCGCGUUGUUCGUGAAAUCUCACGGCUUAACUGUGAGCGUGCGGGCGAUACGGGCAGACUUGAGUACUGCAGGGGAGACUGGAAUUCCUGGUGUAGCGGUGGAAUGCGCAGAUAUCAGGAGGAACACCGGUGGCGAAGGCGGGUCUCUGGGCAGUAACUGACGCUGAGGAGCGAAAGCGUGGGGAGCGAACAGG